This is a long non-coding RNA of Paramormyrops kingsleyae, 510 nucleotides long. RefSeq lists it as uncharacterized. NCBI's taxonomy places the organism in Eukaryota, Metazoa, Chordata, Actinopteri, Osteoglossiformes, Mormyridae. The record is from RefSeq and is a predicted model, not a curated record.
CACCCACAAGACCCAACUUGUCCCUUGAUUGACAGCUUCCCCUAACUGAACAAGAGGCAUGCAAUUUGGCCAGAGGUCAACCAGAUCUGCACUCCUUUCCAGAAGGUGGCGUUAGUGCACCAAAUAUUAUUUUCCAACUGCCAAAAACAGAAGAAGAAGAAACGGUUUGGCCAGAGGCCUGUUAUUUCAAACAUCUGAGCCCUGACAGUAAGACCAGAGUUGAAAAACAAUGGCCACGAUACCUGAAGACUUGCAUGUUACGUACGUAACCAUGGAUCGGACUUGUCAGUCCAUUACAUUCCACUCAUACCCAGCCAUCCACAUGAUGCAGCAGAAAAUGGGAUUCAUCAAACCAGGCAGCCUUAUUCCAUUGCUCCAAGGCCCAGUCUGUCUUCAGUCCAGAAAUACCGGCUUAAUGGAAACAGCCCUUUCACAACACGCUGCUGGUGGCUCCCCCUGCUGGACGUCAUUCCACCUUCAACAAGGCAUGUCGGAUCUAUUCUGCUUAAA